GCCCGAGUGCUGGAACUGGUAGACAGGCACGGUUCAGGGCCGUGUGAUCGCAAGAUCGUGAGAGUUCAAAUCUCUCCUCGGGCA
Molecule: transfer RNA, 84 nt
Filed under: Candidatus Berkelbacteria bacterium
Lineage: Bacteria; Candidatus Berkelbacteria
Description: tRNA-Leu
Source: RNAcentral